Nasonia vitripennis (jewel wasp) is the source of this 465-nucleotide long non-coding RNA. RefSeq lists it as uncharacterized. The transcript is spliced from 3 exons. Lineage: Eukaryota; Metazoa; Arthropoda; Insecta; Hymenoptera; Pteromalidae. The record is from RefSeq and is a predicted model, not a curated record.
AGGCGGGCCUGCUUGCGCCACUUUGCCCGCCGGUUCUGAAACCAAACCUGAGCAACGGGAAGGUUAUUUGCCUGUUUAUUGCGAACAUUUUACCGACGAGAAGUGUCAAGAAAAUGAUAAUCGACUGUAUAAUCGAAAAAUGUACCUGUACUCGAGCUUCAGAGAGGGAAAUCCGAAGUGCGACCUCCUCUCUGAGAAAGACGUCGGGAUAAUGGGUCUUCUGGAAUAGUGACUCCAGCUCCUGCAGCUGUUGCGGCGUAAAAGUCGUUCGAUUUCGUCUCUAAAAUAGUGAAAUAAUUUCCUCGCAUCGAUUCUACUAUGUCAAAGGUAGCAAAAAAAGUUGGUAGAGGCUUUUAGCAGACUGUACACCCCAUGCAAGACAACGUCGAUGCCAGCAAAAGAAACGUACACUGACCUGACGGCGACGUCCGAACAUGUACUCGGUGAGUAGAUCUGCUUGCGGUC